RNAcentral lists this ribosomal RNA (502 nucleotides) under uncultured bacterium. Its description in RNAcentral is "partial 16S ribosomal RNA". It matches the Rfam family "Bacterial small subunit ribosomal RNA", at positions 30 to 523 of the family's 1533-position model. The record is from RNAcentral.
AUUGAACGCUGGCGGCAGGCUUAACACAUGCAAGUCGAGCGGGGUAUGGUGCUUGCACUAUCACUUAGCGGCGGACGGGUGAGUAAUGCUUAGGAAUCUGCCUAUUAGUGGGGGACACCAUCUCGAAAGGGAUGCUAAUACCGCAUACGUCCUACGGGAGAAAGCAGGGGAUCACUUGUGACCUUGCGCUAAUAGAUGAGCCUAAGUCGGAUUAGCUAGUUGGUGGGGUAAAGGCCUACCAAGGCGACGAUCUGUAGCGGGUCUGAGAGGAUGAUCCGCCACACUGGGACUGAGACACGGCCCAGACUCCUACGGGAGGCAGCAGUGGGGAAUAUUGGACAAUGGGGGGAACCCUGAUCCAGCCAUGCCGCGUGUGUGAAGAAGGCCUUAUGGUUGUAAAGCACUUUAAGCGAGGAGGAGGCUCUUUUGGUUAAUACCCAAGAUGAGUGGACGUUACUCGCAGAAUAAGCACCGGCUAACUCUGUGCCAGCCGCCGCUGUAA